GCCUGGGUGGCUCAGUCGGUUGAGCAUCUGACUUCGGCUCAGGUCAUGAUCUCGUGGUCUGUGAGUUCGAGCCCUGCGUCGGGCU
RNAcentral lists this transfer RNA (85 nucleotides) under Felis catus (domestic cat). It matches the Rfam family "tRNA". Rfam says of the family: Transfer RNA (tRNA) molecules are approximately 80 nucleotides in length. Their secondary structure includes four short double-helical elements and three loops (D, anti-codon, and T loops). The record is from Rfam by way of RNAcentral. Lineage: Eukaryota; Metazoa; Chordata; Mammalia; Carnivora; Felidae.